This is a long non-coding RNA of Anthonomus grandis grandis, 1698 nucleotides long. RefSeq lists it as uncharacterized. The record is from RefSeq and is a predicted model, not a curated record. Lineage: Eukaryota; Metazoa; Arthropoda; Insecta; Coleoptera; Curculionidae. The transcript is spliced from 3 exons.
UUAUUGACGUAGAAAUCUGAAAACAAGAUGAACUGAUAUUAAUCAUAAUUAAAGUUUUUUUCUGCAUCAUAAAGGUAUGCUCAGUACUAUUACUAAAUGCUACAUACUAAAUUUUGGCAAAAUCUUGCUUGCUUAUAUGUAUAUUUAUUUCCAACAAUCCCGAUAUGUUCAUAUAUGUAACUAAUCGUUGGGAUAUUCUUACUUAAGAAAAGGUCCUUAAAGGGCCCCACUCACCUCGUUCUUUUCUGUCGUUUUUAACCGAUGGUUAAAAAUGUCAUAAAAAUGAGGUGUAUGGACGAGAACGUCGUUUUUCCUCGUCGUUCCAAAAUUUCAGGCAAGGAUUGAUUUUUUUCGGUUAUCGUGCUAACCGUUCGGGUAAACACGAGGUGUGUGGCGUCAACAGUUUGAUUGGUCAGGCAUAUUUCAGCGACAGUGACGUUCUGUUCAACCUGUCUUUUCUUGUUUAUUUUUGAUUAUUGGCUUAUAUUGAUUUAGCUAGACUUGUUUUGUUUUAUGGUUUAAAAACAUGUCCGAUAUACGACAGUGGAACAGAGACUUUGUACUAGAGUUUAUAGAACUUUAUCGGUCAUUUCCUUGAGUGUGGAAAGUUAAAUCGGCAGAAUACCAUGAUCGAAUAAAAAAAAAGGCUUAUGAAGCAUUGCUAAUGAAAUACAAAGAAGUGGAUGCUGAAGCAACAGUAAAAUCAGUAAAACAAAAAAUUGAUUCCUUGCGGGGCGCGUUUCGAAAGGAAUUAAAAAAGGUAAAAGACUCUUUGAAAUCUGGUGCUGGCUCAGAGGAUACAUACAAACCACACCUUUGGUACUACGAUAACUUGAUAUUUUUGACUGAUUACGAGACGACUAGAAGAGGUGUUGGAAAUAUAGAAGACGAAGAUGCACAUGAAAGUAAUUCUGAGAUUGAAACAGUUACAGAGGCACAAUCUCCAGCCGAAAUACUUGAAGACGAGGUCAGUGACACAGCACUACCCCAAAUAUAUAGAAGUAGGUUGUCAAGUUUGGCCUCAACUUCUAGUAGAGAUGCCCAGACAUCAUCAUCAUGAUUUCGAUCUAAAUUAUCUAAAAGAUCUAGGGCGGAUGAUAUUUUAAGUAAAGUGGACAAACGUUUAGAUCAAAGCGAUGACCAAUUUGACAUUAUCGGUAAAAACAUUGCCCACAAACUAAGAAAAUUACCGUCAGAAGUAGCCCUGGUUACCGAGAAAAUGAUAAACGACAUAGUUUUUGAAAGUCAAAUGGGCAACGUCGAUAAAUAUUCGAAAAUUAAUAUAUACAGUACUAUAUAUAGUAUAGUUAGAAAAGUUUAUAAAGAACCGGUGACAUCAACAGGCGGCAAAAUCCGCGCAUCUCGUUAUUUUAUCGAUCGGGUCAGAUGACUAUGAAGACAGUGAAGGCGGCACACUUGUUGAAAUUAUUAAUAUUUAUUUGUAAUAGAGUUUAAAUAGCCCUAGAUUUUUAGUAGGUAUAGCUAGCGAUGUUAUAAGUGCGUUUGAUUUAGUUGAAAUACGAACUAAGAAUGCAUAUAUUUGAAUUUAAUUGCUCCAAGAUUCGUUUAAAAAAAAUGUAGAUAAAUUAAAAUUAUAUUUUUUAGCAUUGUGAUGUGCCCAUAAAAAAUCUAAUAAAAAAUAGUUUUACUUACAGGAGGAUGCAGUUCUCUAAUUAUUUUUAAAACAGGACUUCAAAU